GACGAACGCUGGCGGCGGGCUUAACACAUGCAAGUCGAACGGAAAGGCCCUGCUUUUGUGGGGUGCUCGAGUGGCGAACGGGUGAGUAACACGUGAGUAACCUGCUCUUGACUUUGGGAUAACUUCAGGAAACGGGGGCUAAUACCGGAUAGGAGCUCCUGCUGCAUGGUGGGGGUUGGAAAGUUUCGGCGGUUGGGGAUGGACGCGCGGCUUAUCAGCUUGUUGGUGGGGUAGUGGCUUACCAAGGCAUUGACGGGUAGCCGGCCGGAGAGGGUGACCGGCCACCAUGGGACUGAGAUACGGCGCAGUGUCCUACGGGAGGCAGCAGUGGCGAAUAUGGCCCAAUGGGAGGGAGCCUGAUGCGGCGACGCCGCGUGCGUGAUGACGGCCUUCGGGUUGUAAACCGCUUUCGCCUGUGACGACGCGUGAGUGACGGUAAUGGGUAAAGAAGCACCGGCUAACUACGUG
This 468-nucleotide ribosomal RNA is filed under the name uncultured bacterium. RNAcentral's name for it is "partial 16S ribosomal RNA". It matches the Rfam family "Bacterial small subunit ribosomal RNA", at positions 28 to 507 of the family's 1533-position model. The record is from RNAcentral.